ACCCGUCAAAGCCUGGUAGGCCGUUACCCUACCAACAAGUUGAUAGGACAUGAGCUCAUCAAAGAGGGGUACACUCACAGUGCAGCUUUCCUUCCGAACCGGAAGAUUGGGAGGGGUACGCGGUAUUAGCCAACCUUUGGUUGGUUAUUCCCCACUGGAUGGUAGAUUACCCAUGUAUUCCUCACCCGUUUCGCCGCUUUACAAGUGUAUUGCUACACCUUCUCGCUGGACUUGCAUGUAUUAGGCGCGCCGCCAGCGUUCGUUCUGAGCCAUGAUCAGACUUUAAUCACUAGUGAAUUCGCGC
RNAcentral lists this ribosomal RNA (304 nucleotides) under uncultured bacterium. Its description in RNAcentral is "partial 16S ribosomal RNA". The record is from RNAcentral.